CAGUCGCCGCGGUAAUACGGAGGGUGCAAGCGUUAAUCGGAAUUACUGGGCGUAAAGCGCACGCAGGCGGUCUGACAAGUCAGAUGUGAAAUCCCCGGGCUUAACCGGGGAACUGCAUUUGAAACUGUCAGGCUGGAGUCCUGUAGAGGGGGGUGGAAUUCCAGGUGUAGCGGUGAAAUGCGUAGAGAUCUGGAGGAAUACCGGUGGCGAAGGCGGCCCUCUGGACAAAGACUGACGCUGAGGUGCGAAAGCGUGGGGAGCAAACAGGAUUAGAGACCCCUGUAGUCCCUGUCUCUUAUCC
Molecule: ribosomal RNA, 301 nt
Filed under: uncultured bacterium
Lineage: Bacteria
Description: partial 16S ribosomal RNA
Rfam family: Bacterial small subunit ribosomal RNA
Source: RNAcentral